AGUCAGUUCAAAGCUCCGACCUCCAAGAAAAAAAGUGCUUUGUAUAAUUAAUAGGAAUUUAAUGGCGUCUCUCAAAAUUCUAGAUUCCCUUCUAGAGCAGCGGAAAAGAGUUUUGAACAACAUAAAAGCUCUAGAAAUUGAAUAUUUCGGCUAUUAUGCUCGUCUACAGUUGGAGAGAAUGGAAUCUAAUUUCUUUUUGACGGCACAACUUUCUCCCCAAUGGUUUCUGGAAACUUUAAAGAUGUACAAUGUAUGUGAAGCAUUUUUAAAUGAAAACUUGGAUAAGUUUUAUGGUCACGAGGCCUUAUAUUCAGAAUAUAAAGAAAACUUGGCGAGUCUUCAUUGCUAUUUACUGGAAUUAUUAGAGACUCGCUCACAUAAAAACAAUGAAAAGAAAGAAAAAAAAGAAAAAAGGAAAGUUUUUAGGGGGAAUACCGAAGGAAGUUUACUUGAAGCUUAUAAUGUUUUAGAAAUUGGCGAAGACGAAAAGAGAGAGAAG
Long non-coding RNA from Zophobas morio, 499 nucleotides. RefSeq lists it as uncharacterized. The record is from RefSeq and is a predicted model, not a curated record. The transcript is spliced from 5 exons. Lineage: Eukaryota; Metazoa; Arthropoda; Insecta; Coleoptera; Tenebrionidae.